AACGCACAUUGCGCCCGCCAGCAUUCUGGCGGGCAUGCCUGUCCGAGCGUCAUUUCAACCCCCAAGCACUGCUUGGUGUUGGGGCACUACGCGCGAGCGUAGGCCCUUAAAAUCAGUGGCGGACUCGCUGAAGGUCCGGGCGCAGUAGUAACAACUCGCCCGCGGUCCCCAGCGUGCCCCUGCCGUUAAACCCCCAAACUUACAGAAGGUUGACCUCGGAUCAGGUAGGAAUACCCGCUGAACUUAA
Molecule: unclassified non-coding RNA, 247 nt
Filed under: uncultured Phialemonium
Lineage: Eukaryota; Fungi; Ascomycota
Description: sequence contains ITS2
Source: RNAcentral